ACGGGGAGCAGCAGGCGCGAAACCUUYACACUGCACGCCRGUGCGAUAAGGGGACCCCGAGUGCGAGGGCAUACAGUCCUCGCUUUUCGUGACCGUAAGGWGGUCWCAGAAUAAGGAGCUGGGCAAGACCGGUGCCAGCCGCCGCGGUAAUACCGGCAGCUCGAGUGAUAGCCACUAUUAUUGGGCCUAAAGCGUCCGUAGCCGGCCGAACAGGUCCGUCGGGAAAUCCACCCGCUCAACGGGUGGACGUCCGGCGGAAACCAGUCGGCUUGGGGCCGGRAGACCWGAGAGGUACGUCCGGGGUAGGAGUGAAAUCCUGUAAUCCYGGACGGACCGCCGGURGCGAAAGCGUCUCWGGAGAACGGAYCCGACGGUGAGGGACGAAAGCUUGGGUCUCGAACCGGAUUAGAUACCCGGGUAGUCCAAGCUGUAAACGAUGCUCGCUAGGUGUGGCGYWGGCUACGAGCCWGCGCUGUGCCGUAGGGAAGCCGAGAAGCGAGCCGCCUGGGAAGUACGUCCGCAAGGAUGAAACUUAAAGGAAUUGGCGGGGGAGCAC
Molecule: ribosomal RNA, 556 nt
Filed under: uncultured Halococcus sp.
Lineage: Archaea; Methanobacteriati; Methanobacteriota; Halobacteria; Halobacteriales; Halococcaceae
Description: partial 16S ribosomal RNA
Rfam family: Archaeal small subunit ribosomal RNA
Source: RNAcentral